CCAACAGGGAUUGCCUCAGUAACGGCGAGUGAAGCGGCAAAAGCUCAAAUUUGAAAUCUGGCUCUUUCAGAGUCCGAGUUGUAAUUUGUAGAGGAUAUUUCGGGCACCGCCCCAGGUUAAAUUUCUUGGAACAGAAUGUCAUAGAGGGUGAGAACCCCGUCUUGACCUGGUGGUAGGACUCAUGUGAAAUUCCUUCGACGAGUCGAGUUGUUUGGGAAUGCAGCUCUAAAUGGGUGGUAAAUUUCAUCUAAAGCUAAAUAUUGGCCAGAGACCGAUAGCGCACAAGUAGAGUGAUCGAAAGAUGAAAAGCACUUUGAAAAGAGAGUUAAACAGUAUGUGAAAUUGUUGAAAGGGAAGCGCUGGCAACCAGACUUGAGCGCGGCGGUUCCCCCUUGCUUCUGCUUGGGUUAUUCCGUCGUGUCCAGGCCAACAUCGGUUCUAGGGGUCGGUUAAAGGCCUUGGGAAUGUAUCUACCCUCCGGGGUCGACUUAUAGCCCAGGGUGUCAUGCGGCCACCCGGGACCGAGGAACGCGCUUCGGCACGGAUGUUGGCGUAAUGGUUGUCAGCGGCCCGUCUUGAAACACGGACCAAGGAGUCUAACAUCUAUGCGAGUGUUAGGGUGUCAAACCCUUACGCGUAAUGAAAGUGAACGGAGGUAAGAAGCUUCGGCUGCAUUAUCGACCGGUCCUGAAGUUUACGGAUGGAUCUGAGUAAGAGCAUAGCUGUUGGGACCCGAAAGAUGGUGAACUAUGCGUGAAUAGGGUGAAGCCAGAGGAAACUCUGGUGGAGGCUCGCAGCGGUUCUGACGUGCAAAUCGAUCGUCAAAUUUGCGUAUAGGGGCGAAAG
RNAcentral lists this ribosomal RNA (846 nucleotides) under Camptophora hylomeconis. Its description in RNAcentral is "eukaryotic LSU rRNA". It matches the Rfam family "Eukaryotic large subunit ribosomal RNA", at positions 65 to 929 of the family's 3401-position model. Lineage: Eukaryota; Fungi; Ascomycota; Eurotiomycetes; Chaetothyriales; Chaetothyriaceae. The record is from RNAcentral.